GGGGGCGUACUGGUCUCGACGGGGGAGACAUUGGCAGGAGCUGCCAGGCGAGAUCCCACCUGCUCGUUAAACGGUGGACCCUAAUAAGUGCCAAAGAAGAACUUGCCCUGGCUGCCUAAAGCAUAGCAGCCACAUCCACCUCAGUCCCCGCCCGCGGAGCUGGGAGUGGGUGUAAUCCGUAGCGGGCUAUCCCUAAGGCCUUCGCCUGCGGGCCCAGGGAGAAAUUAAAAGCAGGCUGGCCCCGGAGGCACCUAGUUUCCGGGGGGCGCCGGGGCGAGAUACAAAGCGGAAACUAUCCUGGUAGACGCUCCUGUGGGUGUUCCUUCGGACGGGGGUUCGAUUCCCCCCGCCUCCACCA
This 358-nucleotide transfer-messenger RNA is filed under the name Thermanaeromonas sp. It matches the Rfam family "transfer-messenger RNA". Rfam says of the family: Bacterial tmRNA, also known as 10Sa RNA or SsrA, is named for its dual tRNA and mRNA-like properties. Its role is to liberate the mRNA from a stalled ribosome. Lineage: Bacteria; Bacillati; Bacillota; Clostridia; Neomoorellales; Neomoorellaceae. RNAcentral also lists the same sequence under 1 other name. The record is from RNAcentral.